RNAcentral lists this ribosomal RNA (175 nucleotides) under uncultured bacterium. RNAcentral's name for it is "partial 16S ribosomal RNA". It matches the Rfam family "Bacterial small subunit ribosomal RNA", at positions 1318 to 1500 of the family's 1533-position model. The record is from RNAcentral.
CCAUGAAGCUGGAUUCGCUAGUAAUCGCGCAUCAGCCACGGCGCGGUGAAUACGUUCCCGGGCCUUGUACACACCGCCCGUCAAGCCAUGGAAGCCGGGAGUGCCUGAAGUGCGUGAGCGCAAGCAGCGCCCUAAGGUAAAACCGGUGACUGGGGCUAAGUCGUAACAAGGUACC